This 433-nucleotide ribosomal RNA is filed under the name uncultured bacterium. RNAcentral's name for it is "partial 16S ribosomal RNA". It matches the Rfam family "Bacterial small subunit ribosomal RNA", at positions 28 to 507 of the family's 1533-position model. The record is from RNAcentral.
AACGAACGCUGGCGGCAUGCCUAACACAUGCAAGUCGAACGAGACCUCCGUGUUUAGCUGCGCUCGGGGGCGGAACGCGGGGGAAGCUGCACGUAGGUACGGAAUACCUCCCUGUAGGGGGUGCUAAUGCAGGAGAAGGUAUUCGGACAAAGGAUUUAUCGCCUUUGGCUGGGCCCUGGUUGGUUUAGCUGGUUGGUAGGGUAAAAGCCUACCAAGGCGACGAUCCAUAGCUGGUCUGAGAGGCUGCUCCGCCACGCUGGGACUGCGACACGGCCCAGACUCGUACGCGAGGGAGCAGUGGGGUAUACUGGACGAUGGGCGAAAGCCUGAUCCCGCAAUGCCGCGUGAGUGAUGAUGGCGUUAGGGUAGUGCAGCUGUUUUAUCCGGGGCGAUAAUGACGGUACCGGGAGAAUAAGCACCGGCUAACUCCGUG